UACGUAGGUGGCAAGCGUUGUUCGGAAUUAUUGGGCGUAAAGCGCGUGUAGGUGGAUUGGUGUGUCAGAUGUGAAAGCCCUGGGCUCAACCCAGGAACUGCACCUGAAACUACCAGUCUUGAGUGGUGGAGAGGGAAGUGGAAUUCCUGGUGUAGAGGUGAAAUUCGUAGAUAUCAGGAGGAACACCAGUGGCGAAGGCGGCUUCCUGGACACUAACUGACGCUGAGACGCGAAAGCGUGGGGAGCAAACAGG
RNAcentral lists this ribosomal RNA (253 nucleotides) under uncultured bacterium. Its description in RNAcentral is "partial 16S ribosomal RNA". It matches the Rfam family "Bacterial small subunit ribosomal RNA", at positions 524 to 776 of the family's 1533-position model. The record is from RNAcentral.